GGGCGCCUCCCGCCUUGGGGCUGCCGGGGGGUCUGGUGCCCGGCUCCGUGCUCGGCCUGCCGGCUGCCCUGAGGCACCGGGGUCGUCCCUGUUGGUCCUCCCGCUCGUCCCCCUGCUUCCCCUUCCAUCACCCCUCUUGGUUCCCACCUUCACAUCCCAAACUGACACAACCCGGGUCGGUUUUGCUGCUGCUUUUGCGAUUCAGGGCAGCAGCCGGAUGACUGCUGUGACCCAAAAGACUUUUUUUGUUUUUUUUUUGUUUUUUUUUGGGGGGGUGGGGUGUUUUUGUUUUGGCUGCUGCUUGACGUGACUGACAGCAGCAGCACGAGCCAUCCCUCGGCAGAUUUACUUUCCAAAAUGAAAACCUGUCUGGUUUCAAAACCUCUGACUCAUCAAGGGAACAAACAAUUCUGUCGCGCGUGAGGGCUCAGGAACGCUCAAAUGCUGCAGGACCUGGGUGAGUCUGUGGAGGGCUCGGCGGGGGACGUGACUGGGUUCUUCCAAACUGUCUCGCAGGGGAUGGCUGCCACYGUGGGGUACGUGCACCUCCAGAAGGAGCGGCUCCCUAGUGAAGGGGGCACCGCGAACUGGAAGCCCAGGAAAGAAUGUUUACUGAAGAAUAUUCCAAAUGUUGCUGAUAGUGAGGCUCAAGAAGGUGAAUUCCCUGAUAUCUCUCACUAUGAAAAAGAUGUUAGUGGAUCUCCAGUUGAAUCUGUUUACUUCUGCUCGGAUCUGGAAGACUCGGAUGGUGAAGCAUCCAGUAUUCCUGAGGUUGCAACUUUUCCUGAGCUUCAAACUGCUGCUGAGUAUGAGGUGGAGGACUGGGAUAAGGAAUUGGAGGAUUCUGAAUUUAAUCCUUAUGAUGCUGGUGAUCUCCACUGUGGAAGCUUUCAGGAAAAUAAUCUUUUGGCCUCAUAUUCGUGGCGAGAGGAUUCGGUGUACAACCCAGGGUGUCACCAUGCAGCUCGCGUUGCUUUUACAUCGCCAAUUAGAAUGACUGAGACUGGCCAGUUUGAUGAUGCUGAAGAAUGAGGUUGCCCCUGGUCAGAAUUAAGUUUGGCUUCUGAGCUGGACUGUGUUCCUCACUGAUUAAGUCAUGUCAAGCCCUUUGGCUUGCUUGCGGAAUUCUGUAUAAGGUCAGAAGUGCCACACCAUCUCCGAAGUGUUUCUUAGACUGUUCCUGAGGUGUGUAUAAGCUGGCCAUGCUUGAUCUCUAGGAACCAGAGUGCAGGUGCUGGCUGUAAGGAGUCAGUCAUUUCUGGACUGCUCUUUGUGUUAUAUAGCUCUAUAUUGUUGCUGAUGAACUACUUGGGAGGAAGUGUCUGAUUUCUAAACAUCAGCUUGAUUGCCAAGUUUAGCCAGUUUUAACAUGCUGAUCCCAGUGUGUCAGCCUAUGUAACUUGUAGUUUUCUUUCCUUUGCAUUUGAUGCUAUCAAAUUGGUUCAGAUAGCUUUAAAAACUCUUCCUCCUUUCAACUUCUGUAUUGUAAUUCUAUGUUGCAGUUUCUCACUCCAUAUCUAAAUCUGGUGUUUGACAAAAUUAGCCAGGACACAUACAGAAUGAAUUGUUUUGUUUCUAAUUUUUUUAUGCCUUUCAGUAUGAAUGGGUUACAAGCAUUUGAUACACAUUUUGCUCUUACGCAUGUGGACAUUAAUGAGGAUUGGAUAGUUGGGCCUGCUGCACCUAAUAAGAAUGCUGGGUUUUAAGACUCUGCCUUCCAGCAGAGCUUUCUGCACAUCAGACUUUCUUGUAUUUGGGUGUAUUGUCGUCCAGUCUUACAAUUGUCUUUGUAGCAUCCUCAUGUGAUGUCAGACACGUAAUGAAGAAGAAAAUAUCUGUGCUUAUAUAGUGUCUUGCAGUAUAUGAUCUCAGCGUGUCCUGCAGACAGUAGUGAAUUAAGGUUCAUGACACUGCUGAUAUUUCUGUUGUUUUGUUGUUGUUGUUUGUGUUUUGAUAAGUGAGGAAAUGGCAACACAAAAUAUCUGCAAAAUGCCUCUUAAGAGAACAGCUGGAACUAGAACAAUAUCCCCCUUGCCCUUGCUUUGGAGUUAAAGGAAAUGUUCUAAAAUGAAGUAUGUAAGUGGACUGAGUGUCUGAUCACUUAGUAACGUUUCAUGUUUCAUUAAUAACUUUUCUUUCAAGAACUUUUUAAAGAUGUCAUGUUCUGACACUGAUUGUUGAUACUGAAGCACAGUACCUGUGUGUGUUUAUUCUUGGGCAAGGAGUUAACAUUUAGCACUGAAAGAUUUUKUUUGUUUGUUUGUUUGUUUUUUAAUCAUCCAGUGCAUGAGACUGAAAUAACUUGAAGUAUUAGUUAGGAAGGCGGAAGUGAAUGACACAGUAAUAUUUCCUUAAUCUUUUCCUUGAGAGCAGAGGAGGAGAAGAGCUUGGAAGAAUCUUUUCUGGUACGUUGCAGUUCCUGGUUAAAUACUAGUACCUAGCAAAUAAUCCAAGUAGAGGCUGGAAGCUUAGAGAUAAGGUUGCAGCAAAGACAACCUGUUCUUUUAUUCCUGUGUGAUGGAGUGCUGUAAGGAGUAAUACUUCGAUCAAAAGUUACCUCAGCAUGCUUCCAGAACACAUGCAUAUACAGCAAAAGCACACUCUAACAGUUUGUUCUUAGCCUUGCCCAGCAGGAAAGCACUAGCUGUGCUCUCUAAGGCAUUGGAGGUGGGUUUUGUUCUGUGUCUGACUGCUGUGUGUUAGAGACAGUUCACUGCUCUUUAUGAUGAGUAGAGCUUUGCAUUUUAGUUAGAAGCCUCUGUGGAAUAGAAGUAAGAAUUGACUAUGCCAGACUUGGAUGUAUAGCAGCUUCUUUCUACAACCUAGAAAAUGGAAAUGAAGCUCGGAGCAUAACUAUGACUGACCACCAACUGAUUAAAGUUGCUGCUCUGCAUUUAUAAAUACACUAUAAAUAAAUAUAUAUUGAGUACAGAUUAGUUUUGAAGU
RNAcentral lists this long non-coding RNA (2946 nucleotides) under Apteryx rowi (Okarito brown kiwi). Its description in RNAcentral is "lncRNA (ENSARWG00000007764.1)". Lineage: Eukaryota; Metazoa; Chordata; Aves; Apterygiformes; Apterygidae. The record is from RNAcentral.